ACUCUGAAGAGAGUUCACAAGUGCGUGAAACUGUACAGUGCAAAGCGAAUGACUGAACACUGCGAGAUGCUAUGCUAUUGUGCAUCAUGUGCGGGAUUACGAUCGUACAUUUAGUCGUGGCAUGUCCCGUGCAAUGGUGUUUCAUUAAAUGUGUCUCGAGUUGUCUGCGGAGCCGGCCAAAUUAAUUAUUGCAAUCGAACGAGAACCAUCUUGUAUGGUUCCACGUAAUAGCAGCAGUUAAAMCAGAUAUGUGUCCCACCUUGUCUGAUACUUCGGCCGGCUCCGCCCUGAGCAUCACCUCGUUUCGUUCCGCCCGUACUCGAUAUACACUGUGCCGCAGUGUGUGCUGGCGCUUGUUGUUCAAGUGCUUGCGUUAGCGGGGUGAAUUUAGUAGGCAGCUUGCGGCUGUUCAGCAUUCGAACCGUCUUGAAACACGGACC
RNAcentral lists this ribosomal RNA (440 nucleotides) under Profilicollis novaezelandensis. RNAcentral describes it as "partial large subunit ribosomal RNA". The record is from RNAcentral. Lineage: Eukaryota; Metazoa; Acanthocephala; Palaeacanthocephala; Polymorphida; Polymorphidae.